Long non-coding RNA from Ictidomys tridecemlineatus (thirteen-lined ground squirrel), 7418 nucleotides. RefSeq lists it as uncharacterized. The record is from RefSeq and is a predicted model, not a curated record. Lineage: Eukaryota; Metazoa; Chordata; Mammalia; Rodentia; Sciuridae.
GGCCUCCGCGGCCAGGGAACUGCGGGCAAGGGGCUGAGGGGAGGGGGAUCCAGUGCCAGUCGCUUAAAAAUGCCCCUGUGGUAGUAAGGGGUGCCAGAGGCCGGGUCAAGUUAGUUGAGAAGCAGUGACACCCCCCACCAGUCCCCAAACAGGCUGACCCCAUCUCUAGGCCCCAAGGAGCCACACCUGGACCAGACUGCGGGACAGGCAAGGGCCCUGGCUGGUGGAAGCCACCUACCACCCUGGCACUGGAUAACCAACAACCCUGGAGAGGGAGCCUCCUAGAGACCAGAAGAGGGAGGCGGCAGGCAGCCCUGGCAGCAGAACUCCUCCCCUUCACCCACCCUUCCCCAGAGCCUUCCAACAGCCUGCCGACCAAGUUUCCCCCAACCCAGAGACGUUUCCAGGAGACAUCCAGAAAGGGAGGGGAAAACAGUGCGUUCUCCUGGGAGCAGACCCCCAAGUCACCCACAGCCAGCACUGAAAGCCACCAGGUAAAACUCUUGACACCGCCUGGCUCAGUCACCUCCUUUAACAGAAGGGGAAAGAGCGCCACAGAGAGGAGAGGGGCCUGGCGUGAAGUCACUUGCCAACUGGCGACAGAACCGAGACUCCCAAAUGGCUUCCCCCAUCUCCCCUGGGAUCCAGUGUGAAGGAGCCUUUCAUGGGGUAAGUGAAAUAGGGGCCAGAGAGCCCCUUCUCAGUGAGGCCCUCGCUUGAAGGAAACAGGGGAUGGGACAAGUGCUGCCUGCCAGCCCAGCAAGUGGGCAAGACUCAAAGGAAGUGUUCCUGGGGCCAGAGAGCCAGGAGGAAGGGCACCCUGCCUGGACCUCUGCCCCUCCCCACAGCUCAGCAGGACCACCUCCUCCUCCAGGAAGCCUGCCCAGCUCCCCCAGGGAUUGGAGCCUCUUUGUCCUCUAAGCCCUUGGCAGUCCUUUCAUGGGGUCUUUCUUGACCCUCUUAGUUCUGCCUUCCUCUCUGUCAGCCUGACUUUGCCAUACCAGGGCGAGGACUGUGUCAGAUUUGAUCCCAUCUCCCUCUGCAUGUAGAUGAGGCACUUGCUCUGCUGUGUGGACAGAUGUGGUGAUGAGAUCUUGUCCCAAAACCAGAGACUGGGACAUGGGUCAAGAGAUGAGACAUCUGUAUAGAGGUCAACAGUGAGGGACCCGGGGUUGGCCGUUCUGAGUGAGGAAUCCCAGUGCAGGUCCUUGCUCUCUGCCUUUGGAAAAUUCCAUUCCCAUGGAGCCUUAGGGUGUCCACAAGGAUUUGCACAAUUAAAGCAUUUCAAUAAAUGACCAUUCUUAUUAUAGUCAUCAUCAACAUGAUUGUCCUAGAUGCAAAGGGACAGAUCUAGGUAGCCUCUAGCCUGGAGAAGGACAGACCCAAGGGCCCAUUGGAGAUGGAGGCAAAGACCUCCUGUGGCCAAAGGCUGCAUCUCAGCCCCCUGCCCGGGCACCAGUCUCUCCCCCAAAGAAGCAUGGGGCCUCCUACUGCUGGUUCCUGCCUCUCAUGCCAGGAGACCUGCUGUCUUGGAUGCACUGUCUUCCACCCACAGGGUGAGGUGGAAACAGGCCCCUCCCCAGGUGCAGUUCAGGCUCUGCAACCCUGGAAUUGUUACCUCCCAUUCCUGGUCCUCCAGCAGAGGUGGACCUCACCAGCUGUCUGAAGAUCAAAAGGCAUCAGGCAUCAUUUCCCACACUCAGCCGUUCCCAUGCUCCUUUUAUUUUGUAAGUUGAGUCCUUUUUUUUUGUACUGGGGAUUUAACCCAGGGGCACUGGACCACUGAGCCACCUCCCCAGCCCUAUUUUGUAUUUUAUUGAGAGAUAGGGUCUCACUGAGUUGCUUAGUGCCUCACUCUUGCCGAGGCUGGCUUUGAACUCACCAUCCUCCUGUCUCAGCCUCCCUAGCUAUUGGGAUUCUAGGCCAGCACCAGUCCUUUGGAAUGCUAAAGUAGAAACAGUUGCUUAAAUGGUAAAUACUUAAAUGAAACACUGGAACACUGUCCAUAGUUAAAAAUAAAUACAAUGGAAAUGAAACAACAUUGUUAACACUUUAACCUGAAACUGUGGCUGGUCAGGCCCUGGGCCUGAAGCCCAGGUGGGUGAUAAGCAGGACUCAGAAAGGUGUCCCAGGCAGGACAGCACCAAAUGGAGAAUUUUCUCCCCCUGAUACAUUGAAGGACUGAAAGCAGUUCAACAUGGAACAACUGAGGCCACCAAUUCCCAGAAUCACUCACUCUACCUCCUGCCCUUGGAGGCCGAUGGUGGUGCAGAGGAGUGGGCUUUGGCAACAGUCACCCAGGGACGGUGGGGACUCCUUCUCAGCUUGACUCAUGGGAGUGAAGCUGCACUUUUUUAGGAUAACCAUCUGGCUCUCACUGAGAUUCCCCCUUGGUCAGGCUAAACACCUCCCCUCCCAGGGAACAGGAGCUGUGGGGUAUGGAGCAAACAGGCCGUCCCUGACCCCCAAAUGAGGCCAGUGUCCCCAUUACCAGCCAGCCAAAUGCACUUGGAAAGAAGUUUCUGCAGGAAAAUUCCAGAUAAGAAGAAGGCAGGGCUGUUCCAUUAGCAGACCAUCAAAAGUGGCCUGCCCUGAGCAGCAGACCAGAGGACAAUGCCCUCCCUCCCCCCAGAGCUCAGAUGGGACCUGAUGUCAGAUUUCUGCUGGAGACAGAGUAAACAUGUUUGUUUGUUUUUAAUGGAGCCGCAUAUUUUUUUCUGUUCUCUCCCAGCCCUGAGGAAAGUCUGCUCACCCCUCUCACACAUCUCUGAGAGCACAUGUCAUCUGGCAUCAAGGCCACCGUAGUCACCAUCAGCCAAAGCAGGAGGGUCCUCUGGGGAGCCUGAGAGCUUGGCAGAGCAGGAGGAAUUGGGGAAGGGCUUCACUCACCUGUCAGGCCCAAAGGAGAACAUGCAUUACCUACGUGGCCAUUUAAUCAGCCACCACAUGACACUCUCUGUAGCCCAUCACCCUGGACAAAGCCAUCAGCAAGAGCUAGGGACCCCUCAAUUAAUAAGACAUGGGGCACUGUCUUCAGGGAACUGGAAAUCUAACCAGGUCAGACACCCAGGCAAAUAACUCCCAUACUAGAGAGAGCAAGACUGAGGACAUGGUUCUUCCACUCAGCCAAUGCUAUGGGGCAUCCACACUGCCAGACCCUGAUCUCAGGGCUGAGGACAGUUGCCAGGGCUCUUCCCUUGCAGGUGGACCUCACAGUCCACAAGUGAAAACCACAACUCAAGAGCAGUAAAGGAGAAGAGUGGUCUAGGAUAGGGAAGCGUGUGAAGCAGGGUGUCCUGAGAUCUAAGAAGUCAGGGACAGCAGCCCAAGGUGGUCAUUUGAGUAGAGACAGCACACCAAGAAGAUAUGGUUGGGGGAAGGAGGGGGGACAGCCCAGCACCAGGGUAAUGGGGAGCCCCUUCUAGAGUAUAAGCCCAGGAAAGAUUGAGCACAUUUGCAUUUUGAAAAGUCACUUUGGGAGGAUGGGUAAGAAGAAAGAAGGAGAAAAGGGAAGACAGGUUGGAUACAAGUGUUUAAUGAAUAAAUGUCAAGUACCAGGAUGCUGUUUGACUGGGGUGCAUCACACAUAAAGAUGAGGCAUAGGGUCAAAAACAGAGGUCAGUCUACUUGAUGAUUCCAAUUAUCGAAAAGUCCAGAACAAGCAGAUUUAUAGAGGCAGAAGGUGGUCCACCAAAGGCUGGGUUUGGCUAAGAAAGGGGCUUUCUUUAUCUUGGGAGAGGGGGGUUGGUGAUGAAAUAUUCUAAAAUGGAUUGUGGUGAUAGUUACACAACUUUGCGAUUAAAAACCAUUUAAGACCAAACGUAAUGGCACAUGCUUAUAAUCCCAGUGACUUGGGAGGCCAGAGCAGGAGGAUCACAAAUUUGAGACCAGUCAGCAAUUUAGUGAGACUCUGUCUCAGAACAAAAAAAUGAAAGGAGCUGGGGAUGUAGCUCAAUGGUAAAGCACCCUGGGGUUCAAUCUCUAGCCCAAAAGGAAAAGAAGAGGAAGGUCGAGGUUUGAUCCUAGAGGUCUUCAAUGUCAGGCCAAGGACAGGAAACGCUGCUGAGAUAGCUCCAUCAGUCCCCGGGCAGAGCUGGAGGGGUGGAACUGAGGUCCCCUCUCAUGCCCCUUCUCCUGUCCAGGGAGGAGUGCCUACCACCGGCCAGCCAAGCGGAGCAGUGCAGCGCCCUGUCCCCCAGCCUGAGGUGCAGUGCUGCAUCUCUGGUCAGUUGGGAGUCUGAGAUGAAGCACUGUAGCUCGGGAAGGGAGAAGUUGUUCUGCAGCCAUCAUCCUGGAAGUGGUAAGUGAGGUACCAGGAAGGACUGACGGGGAGUUCACAGACUGCAGACGGUCAGCAGCUGGCAGAGGUGGGGAGGUUCUACCAGUGUCACGAUGGGCUUUGUGAUUCCAAGCAGGCCCUGGCCCUGUGAACCCAGAACGUCUAUCUGUAGCACAAGGUGUUGAGCCACUCUGUGGAGACUGCUAUCUAGUAAUCUGCCUCCACAUCCUCUUUCUGAGCCCACAGGGGACACUGCUAAUCCGUCAAGGCAGCCAUUCUUGAAGUGUUUGGAUACAGCUUUAGAAUCCUGCUCAACUGAGACCUGGACAGUCACUCUUAAUGAUUUGGAGCUGAAACCCAUUUAUCAUGUGUAGAUCAGACAAUUCCUAAAAACCCUGUUAGCCCUAGAGACAGAAGUCCUGGGCUUUGAGUCAAGGUCUUUGCUCUCUGAGCUCCUAAUCUUGGAUCUGGGCUGUUGCCUAAACGAGUGCAGGCAUCUCAUAAAUGUGUGAGCUCUCCCAGAGGCUUUGGACAAACAGUGAGCAGCAGAGGAGAGCCACUGGGCUGGCACAAUUUUAUUUAACCUCCCCCAUAGCUUGGGAGAUGGACCGUGUCACUGGGCCACUUUACAGAGAAGAAAACUGAUGCUCUGUUAAACGACUUACCCAAGGUCACACAGACUGUGCUGAGCCGGGGUUGUUGCCUCAUCUGUCUGUCUCCAGAUCCACAUUCUCACCCAUCGGUGGUGAUUAUGGAAUCCAGGAUCGGGGAGCAGGAAGAGAAGCUCACCUGUGUUCAUACCUGGGGUCACUUUAGCAAAGACAGACCCAAAACAUUGCAUGAAUCCUUUCCCCUGCUCUCUGAUCUCAUUUAUUUCCCCACUAGGUCCUGUACUAUCCCAUUUUACAAUGAAGGAAAGCCAGGGCUCAGAGGUUAAGUGAUUUGCCAGGGGUCAUCGGCAAGGAAAUUGCCAGAAACUGGGAACUCCAUCUGCCCAAUUGAGGCUGGGAUCCGGGUUGCCAAAUGUUUCUGAUGGACAUCGUCAGUCUGGGUUUGAUGACAGGGAAGGUACUUUCCAGGGCACUUGAAGUUCCAGUCACUACUCUUCCCAGAGCAAUGGGCUGCAUCCUGUGAGACAUGGCACCCACACUAGCCGCUGCCGCCAUGGCUGGAUGCGGAAGAAAACCCCAGCUGGCCUGUAGGGACAUGGCAGCCUUGGUUCUGAAGGCUACUCACUCUCUCCCACCUUGUCCUCACGGUCCAGUUUUCCCAGGAAUCCCUUGGAUGCUAAGAUGGGGAUUCCUGGAAAUACUGUUCUUGAGGUCACGGUUUAGCAGCUGGAUUCGCCUCCCUCCCACCCUAGCAGUGCCCCGUGGGAUGAGGGUCAAGGAGAAGGUCAUGCACUGGAGGUAAGAGGGCUUGUGAACCAUGUUCUUGACCUUUAAGUUGCUUUUCUUUCCACUGUGUCCAUUUCGUAACAUCCCUGUGAGGCUGGAUGUGGGAACUUCAGCAUUGUCGCACUCUGGAGAAGCUUGUUCCAAGUCACACAGCUGAGCAGUGGUUGAACCAGGACACCAGGAGGCCUGAGCUCUUCUCCAUCCCUCCCCACCCUCCCCCACUUCCCUGAAGGGCUUGCCAUAGGAACGACAGUAUCGUAUCGACGUUACUGAGAAACUAAUACAUGCACGUGAAUUUAUUUUAAAAGUUUAUUAAAUCAAUUAGGUAAACUGCAAACCAUAAGGCUUAAUUUGAUUUGGAAAGCAGCCACAGAAAAAAUGGAAAAAAAUUUUAAUCAGAGAAAACAAGACUCAGGACGCCCUCUUGUGGUGCUUCUACUCACUGCAGUGCCCUGAGACCAUCCUACACACACACCUCUUAACCUUGCUACAAGGGUCAAAAUUCAGGUAUUGUUCUUCCUGCACAAGCACACGCAUGCGUUACACACACACACACACACACACACACACACACACACACAGAGAUGCCUUCUAUCCCAAUCAUCUCCUUUAUCUUUUUGCAGUAUUGGGGGUUGAACUAAAGGCGUCACACACGUUAAGCCCUCUACCUACCUACACUAGCUACUCUACACCCUACCAUUAAAGCUACUUCCUCAGCCCUUUUCUUCUAAAAUUUUGAGAGAGUCUUGCUAAUUCUCAGAGUCUGGCCUAGAGCUUGUGCCUCAGCCUCCUGAGCAGCUGGGUUAUAGGCAUCACCACCAUGCACAGCCCCAAUCAAUUGAGCCACUUGUAUCUUAUUUAGCACUUUGCUACCUACCAAGCACCCAUCAUUUACAGUUCACUUUUUAUUCCAAUGCCCAGUUUCAUCCUCAAAGUUCCACUAAGGUUAGUAGGGUUAGUGAGGUUGAGAGGUAAAGUGACCAGCCCAAGGUCACCCAGACAGCCAGAGGCAGAGAAAGCAGAUUUCAAGUUCUGUGGCCUCUGUCACUGUUUUACCCCCCCACACAAAAAAAAACUACAAAACUAAAAGAGACUGCCUCCCCCACUACGUAGAGGGAAUGCUAACUAAAUAAAUGCCCCAAAUCCUAAACUAGAACUUUCCCCAAACUCUUCCUAGUGCUUUUCAUGGAUUUGGUAGAGAUAACUGUCAAGGCCCCAGAAACCUCAUUUUGGGGUCUGAUGGCCACAUUCCCAGGGACCAGGUUGUUCCCACAAAUGUCCCAGGCUGUGUUCCUAACAGGCUAUGUUGUAGAUCUUUAGGAAAUAAGACUCAUACAUGGAGACUGGGGCAGCCUGACCAUAGGAAUAUCAGAUUUGCUAGUAAAAAUAGCAAUAAUGGCUUCCCCUUUUGACUAUUCAUAACUCACCAGGGACUGAGCCGAACAUGUGUGCAAGCCUGGUCUCAGUUCUCCCCCCAGCCCACUGAAGUCAGUUCUACUGCUUAAUUCAUAGACAAAGAGAUCCAAGGCUGAGAGAGGUCAAGAGAUUUAGCAGAGACCACCCAUGGUGAAGCUGGCAUCAAAUCAAGUCUGUGUUUCUGCUUUUAACCAUGACAUGUGGUCCCCCAUCCCCACUUGUCCUGGUUGGUGGGGCCCUGUGCUGGGGAGGCUUACCCUUUGCUGAAACCCAAGUGGCCUCUCCUGUGCUAUGUGACUAUAAUAAAGUGCUGAACUCUUGGCUCA